RNA transcript from Lutra lutra (Eurasian river otter), 1346 nucleotides. RefSeq lists it as uncharacterized. The record is from RefSeq and is a predicted model, not a curated record. NCBI's taxonomy places the organism in Eukaryota, Metazoa, Chordata, Mammalia, Carnivora, Mustelidae. The transcript has 8 exons.
GUUGCGCGUAGGGUCGCGGGGUCCUGGGGUCCGCGGGGGUGGCCCCCUCCGGCUGCGGGCGCGCUCGCCUGCUCACCCCCCGCCCCCUCCACCGCCUUCUCCUUUCGCUCUGCGGUGGCAGCGACAGCGACUCAAGUCCAGUUUCCCAGUCCUGUAACCUCCAGGCGACCCUGCCGAGCAGCCGCGGAACCUACACUGCUUUUUAUAAAAAUAAAAGAUUCUGUCUAAUUGAAACAGAAUCUCUCCCUUCGUGGAGUUUACAUGUCAGAGUCUCUUGCAUUACCGUGGCGGAAUCUGUCCCUUGUUUUGCGGGGAAACAGCUGUAAAUGAAGACUGCUCUCGCCCCCUGCAGGUGACGAAGGAGCAUGGCUUUCUCUGGGAACCGAUGCUACUGGCAUUUUCCUUGGAGUUUUCCUGGCUCAGCUCCAGAACCACCCCCUCCAAGUUGUCUUCCUGGAUUUACUCAGCCCAAAGCCAUACUUCUCUUUCCUGGGCAGGCCAUUCGUGAAGUCCUACUUACACAAGGAACUCAACUGCCAAGUAUUGGAGACUUCAUUUGGAGGCGGCCCCUGGGGGAGGCACAGAUGCAAAGCACAUGUGGAAAAGCAAGCUAGGAAGGCAGCUGAGCCUCGGACGCGAAUGGACGACAACGGCAUCUUCAGAGCGGGCGCAGAACAUCUCUCCACUUGGAUCUUGCCAUCACUCCACGAACACCGGGACAGACAGCUUUCUCUUCCGUGCUCUUUGACUUCUUUAGCCAACGCUCAACAGGAUCGUCACAAGAAGUUGCUGUGCAUGGCGCCCAAGGUCACCCUGGUUGCUGACAAGCAACUAACAGAUGGGGAGAGAGGAAGAGUGGAGAAGGCCCGUGAGCUUCUGAGAUUGGCCUGAGUGUGGCACACGCCCCUUCCACCAACAUUCUGCUGAGGAUGAGGGCUAUGGAGAAGAGGACCUUCAAACUCUUGCUUCAGCACACAACCAGGCUAUUGUACUUCUCACCAUCUGUCGCCAUCUCUAAGCACUGAGCCCCACUGUGUCAGACAGUACUUCCCCAUCCCCUAAGCCCUCCCCACCCCCACCAAGGACACUGUUGUGUGAUCCCUGGGUAGCUUGGCUUUCAAGGGAAGGUAAGCCACAGAAGAGAAUGACCCCUUCUUGGAUUACUGUAUCUCCCACUCAUGGUUCCAAGUUACUGUCCUUGAACUUGAUAUUCGAGAAAACUAUAAGCCUCUACCAGGACAGCCGUUCCUCUCCACGCGUGGGUUGUUCUCUCUUAGCUUGGCUCACCGGAAAUGAAGAAAACAAGCUAUUUUUUUUUUAAAGUUACUGAGACUCGAUAUUAAAGA